UAAGGCUUCAAGAAAAUAACAAGUAUUUCCCAAGGGCACAGAACUGAUUUGUGUCCUUAGUUUUAGAGUCUAGAAUUUAUGUGUCUUGAAGAGUUUAGUUUCAAGUGAAUAUGGAUUUCCAGGCAGAAUUGCCGGUCUGUGCCUUCAGUUAUCCGUUGAAGUAAGAAGGAUUAUGCUAAGAAUACAAGUCUGAGUUCUGGAAUACCAAAGGCCCUUUAGAACAGUUAGCAUUCUACUCUGGCCGAAGAGUUUGCUACUCUCUAGUCUCUCUUACUCAUGACCAAGACCUUGGGCCUCUAUGAAAUGUCUCCAUCCUGCCAAGGAAUAAGGACUUUUGAGGAUAACCAGGAAGCUUUCUUGAGUCACCUUUCAGGCUAGAAUGGCCAGCUACAGAAGAAUCUAGUAAAGUAUAUCAUUUAACCCCAAACUGUGAACUCUCCCAGAAAUUAGUAAUUUAUUGAAAAAUAGCUUGACCAACCCCUUUUUUGGGGCACACUUAACUGAGAAAUUUUUUUAAACACUGAGAAACAGUACUACUUUUCCUUGUGAUUUUAUUUGCUUCUUUUGCUUUUUAUGCCUUUCUUUUUCCUGCCUCUUAACCUCUUCUGUAAAGUCAAGCUUACUCACAAACUAUACAUACAUCUGUUGGCAGUGCACUUUAAUAUGUUGCUUGGAUACAGAUGUUUGGAACUAUAGGAGCAAAAUUUAUACCUGAUUCUGUUACUAAGGAAACCAGGGCAACUUAGAAAUUUUCCUUUGGGAAUCAUGGCCAUAAACUGGAAAGACAUCUAUUAAGACUUUUGGAAGAAGAAAGAUAGAGCAUGGGAUUUGCAGGAGAAAUUCUUUGCUUAUGUCAGCCCUACUGGCAAAUCAUCUCCAGGAGAAACAAACAAGAAGUUAAUUUGCAGAAUCUGUUUUGCUUCUCCAACUACAAGGAAACAUUACACCUGUCUGAGAUUUCCUUCCAUCCAAACCCUGGCUGGGUUUCUUAAUAUUAGUGAGGCUGGCACUGCGAGAGAGUAAACUCCAAGGAGGACACACCAUUUCUGGCUCCCUAGUCCAUACUGCUCUGAUCUCUGCUGGGUUCCACUCGAUUCGACUUCUGCCUAGGGUUAAUUGAUCCUAAUGCUUCUGGAUGAACCUGCAGAGAAAUUUCUUGAAGAUAUGAACCGAACUCAAAGAAAGAAGUGGAAAGUCUACCUUCUAAGGAUAGUGGAAGAAUAAUUUGGAAUUGUAUAAAAUUUGGAGAUAACAGACUACAGUGCUGUAAAGGAAGUCUUCCAUUUGGACUUCCAGAUAAUACUGCCCAUGUGCCCAGACCACAUAGUGUAAAGGGUUAGUCAGAAGAGGGAAGAGUUCAGCUAAGGAAAACAUCAGAGAGUAAGGGAAGGCUGGCUACUGGAUGUGUUGGGGCUGGUAGGGACUUGGUGUGAAAGGUACUACUAGAAGUUAAGACCAUGAGGACAGGGAUGUUGAUCUGUUUUUUCAUUACUGAAUCCCCAGUGCCCAGAACAGUGCCUGGCAUAUGCUUUCGAAUUAGAAAGUUUGAACUAGCAAGUGGCCUUUCCCUCUUCUAUCUCGUAUUGGCCCCAAACCUUGCAAUUCUUGACAUGUAUACAAGAGGUGCUCAUCACACCAUUCUAUGAGCUCGAUGCUCUUGAUUGGCACUUUCCCAGAAAAGACCCUCCCUGGCAGGUGCAGAUGGUGUAGAUCCCAGCUUUUCCUCAAAUUCUCAGCAUGGCCACACUUCCAGAAUCAGUCUCAUUACCCUCAGACUAUGCACACAAGCUGGGCAAUGGACCUCUUCCGAAGUUUGAGUCUUCACUCAUCAGAGCCACUGUUCCAAGCAUCUGGCUUCUGAAAACCUCAAAUUAUUUUCUUUCUUUCUCCAAUCCUAGAGAUGACAGCAGCUUCUUGCAAUAAUUAGCAUAGUGUUCAUUUUUAGGCGUUUCAGUUCUCCAGCAUCUGUUUAACUAUUUCCCUACAUUAAAAUCUCUUGGUUGAA
Molecule: long non-coding RNA, 2005 nt
Organism: Leopardus geoffroyi (Geoffroy's cat)
Lineage: Eukaryota; Metazoa; Chordata; Mammalia; Carnivora; Felidae
Exons: 7
Source: RefSeq, a predicted model, not a curated record